Molecule: ribosomal RNA, 319 nt
Filed under: uncultured fungus
Lineage: Eukaryota; Fungi
Description: partial small subunit ribosomal RNA
Rfam family: Eukaryotic small subunit ribosomal RNA
Source: RNAcentral
GCUGUCUCAAAGAUUAAGCCAUGCAUGGUCCUUGCUACUUGGAUAACCGUAGUAAUUCUAGAGCUAAUACAUGCAUCAAGCCCCGACUUCUGGAAGGGGUGUAUUUAUUAGAUGGAAACCAAUGCGGGGCAACCCGGUAUAUGGUGAUUCAUAAUAACUUUCGGAUCGAUUUAUCGAUGCAUCAUUCAAGUUUCUGCCCUAUCAGCUUUGGAUGGUAGGGUAUUGGCCUACCAUGGCUUUAACGGGUAACGGAGAAUUAGGGUUCGAUUCCGGAGAGGGAGCCUGAGAAAUGGCUACCACAUCCAAGGAAGGCAGCAGG